CACCGCCCGUCACACUAUAGGAGCUGGCCAUGUUUGAAGUCAUUACCCUUAACCGUAAGGAGGGGGAUGCCUAAGGCUAGGCUUGCGACUGGAGUGAAGUCGUAACAAGGUAGCCGUACUGGAAGGUGCUGCUG
Molecule: non-coding RNA, 134 nt
Filed under: Oryza rufipogon (brownbeard rice)
Lineage: Eukaryota; Viridiplantae; Streptophyta; Magnoliopsida; Poales; Poaceae
Description: rRNA SSU_rRNA_eukarya
Rfam family: Bacterial small subunit ribosomal RNA
Source: Rfam by way of RNAcentral